CGGCUCAUCACAUCCUGGGGCUGUAGUAGGUCCCAAGGGUUGGGCUGUUCGCCCAUUAAAGUGGUACGCGAGCUGGGUUCAGAACGUCGUGAGACAGUUCGGUCCCUAUCCGUCGCAGGCGUAGGAAAUUUGAGAAGACCUGUCCUUAGUACGAGAGGACCGGGAUGGACGUACCUCUGGUGUACCAGUUGUUCUGCCAAGGGCAUGGCUGGGUAGCUAUGUACGGAAUGGAUAAGCGCUGAAAGCAUCUAAGCGCGAAGCCAACUUCAAGAUAAGAUUUCCCACCGCAAGGGUAAGACCCCAGAAAGACUAUCUGGUUGAUAGGUCGAAGGUGUAAGUGCAGCAAUGUAUUUAGCUUAUCGAUACUAAUAGGUCGAGGACUUGACCAAU
This 390-nucleotide ribosomal RNA is filed under the name Clostridioides difficile. RNAcentral describes it as "partial 23S ribosomal RNA". It matches the Rfam family "Bacterial large subunit ribosomal RNA", at positions 2533 to 2925 of the family's 2925-position model. Lineage: Bacteria; Bacillati; Bacillota; Clostridia; Peptostreptococcales; Peptostreptococcaceae. The record is from RNAcentral.